Molecule: long non-coding RNA, 898 nt
Filed under: Nicotiana benthamiana
Lineage: Eukaryota; Viridiplantae; Streptophyta; Magnoliopsida; Solanales; Solanaceae
Description: long non-coding RNA (NBEN_LNC026894)
Source: RNAcentral
AUAUACAAACCGAUAUUGAAAAAUAACGAAAGUGAAAAAUAAAUUGCAAAGUUAUAUAUAUACCAAAAAUGAAAAAUAAUAAUAAAUGAAAAUUAUGUGUCAUAUUUACAUCCUAGUAUCACAUAUCAAAAUAGGACCACCCCUCCAAAAACGAACUAGCAUUGUAUUCAAUGCUAAUAGCAAAAAAUAAGAUCAAGGAAGGGAUUAGAGAGUAAAGAAAACUCCCUAUUGGCCCUCUGUCUGCAUAAGGUCAUGCGGUUGGGUCCCUGUAUCAUCUCCUCCAGGGUCCUCCAGCUGAAUCUCCAUGUCAUGAGCAUGAGGAAUCAAUCUUUUCCUCUUAGUCUCUCCCUUAGCUUCCUGCUCUGGUACCUGCUCUGCCUGAGCUGCUGGCAGUGGAUCCUCCAAUAAUAGCCCCGGUGGAAUGUUGCUAUCUGACUUCAUCUUCUCUACCUCUCCUCUCAACAGCUUCACCGGCUCCUUUGAGGCCCGAGUCUUUUUCAACUUCUUCGUCUGCUUUCUCAGCUCCUUAUUUGAUUUUCCUUGAAUUUCAAGAGCCUCCAUGAUGAGCUUAUGGUUGUCCACGAGCUUCUUCUGGUUGUCCACGAGCUUCUUCUGGUUGUCCAGAAGCUCCUUGAGAGAUUCCUCCACUAAAGAUGGGACCUGGAGCUGUGCGGGAGCUGACUGGAUGCUAUUGAACUGGAUAGUACGAAUAGCUUAGAAGUUGUUUCAUGCAUUGGUGUAACAACUUUCAGAACCGCUGACAGCAGAUAAAAAGGUGCAGCCACGGAAUAAGUACCAUUUGAGAGCGGAAAAAGGGGCGUGGUCGUGGAAGAAUGGGGAUCAGACUAACAAUCCUCUGGUUCUACUAAGUUGCUAAUAGCGUAAAAUUAGGCACAUG